CUUUAAGAGACUUGAGAGUACGCUGACAUCGAGUAUGACAUCUGUUACCGAUUUUAUGUCAAGAUUAUGUGAGGAUAGAUCGAGCAAUAGGGAUACUGAAAUUACUAAUCGUUCUUUUCCAGCUCCCCUGCCUGUUCCAGAAUCAGCCCUAACCGGUGCUGGGGGUUAUGGGGAUCCGCAAGCCCACGGGCAGGAUCCGCCGUCCCCCCUGGCGCGGAGCAGGCAGUGUUGGCAGCAGAUUCCCCUUCCCUCGAUGUGUAAGUUCUCAGGAUGAUAAAA
Long non-coding RNA from Macrobrachium nipponense, 279 nucleotides. RefSeq lists it as uncharacterized. The record is from RefSeq and is a predicted model, not a curated record. The transcript is spliced from 2 exons. Lineage: Eukaryota; Metazoa; Arthropoda; Malacostraca; Decapoda; Palaemonidae.